UACGAAGGGGGCUAGCGUUGUUCGGAAUUACUGGGCGUAAAGCGCGCGCAGGCGGUCUUUCAAGUCAGUGGUGAAAGCCCGGAGCUCAACUCCGGAAAUGCCAUUGAAACUGUAAGACUUGAGGAUGAGAGAGGUGAGUGGAAUUCCCAGUGUAGAGGUGAAAUUCGUAGAUAUUGGGAAGAACACCGGUGGCGAAGGCGGCUCACUGGCUCAUAUCUGACGCUCAGGCGCGACAGCGUGGGGAUCAAACAGG
Molecule: ribosomal RNA, 253 nt
Filed under: uncultured bacterium
Lineage: Bacteria
Description: partial 16S ribosomal RNA
Rfam family: Bacterial small subunit ribosomal RNA
Source: RNAcentral